RNAcentral lists this long non-coding RNA (212 nucleotides) under Brachypodium distachyon (stiff brome). Its description in RNAcentral is "long non-coding RNA (BDIS_LNC002006)". Lineage: Eukaryota; Viridiplantae; Streptophyta; Magnoliopsida; Poales; Poaceae. The record is from RNAcentral.
CAUAUUAAGGAUUCCGAAAGUGAAUCCGAUAUAUAAUUUACCAAGUUAAAUGGAGUCCGAAAAUACUACACAUAACAUCUAUACAACUCCAUAUGCAAGGAAUAGAGUUAAUGGAUUAACUACACUCAACAUUAGAGUUGUAUCAUCAUGCAUGAGAAUGACAUGGAUAGGUGCAGCACAUGCUUUAACAAGAAUAACACAAAGAUCCGACU